AUAUUGCAGGGAAAUACCAUGUCAUAAAAGUGGUUUUCCCAGGGGGAGGCUCAUAUCUUGCACUUUGGGUGUGUUGCUGAUCCUUGUGAUUUCCUAGAAUGUGGGGACCUCAUCUGCAUAAUUUGUGUUAAUGGGAGAUGGAAUGUGGGGACCUCAUC
Molecule: small nuclear RNA, 158 nt
Filed under: Pogona vitticeps (central bearded dragon)
Lineage: Eukaryota; Metazoa; Chordata; Lepidosauria; Squamata; Agamidae
Description: U1 spliceosomal RNA (ENSPVIG00000024083.1)
Rfam family: U1 spliceosomal RNA
About the family: U1 is a small nuclear RNA (snRNA) component of the spliceosome (involved in pre-mRNA splicing).
Source: RNAcentral